AUGUACAAAAUGGAAGGUACAAAUUUACAAUCAAAGAUGUUGGGGGAGAUAAACAAGAGAGGAGAAGCAGGUCUUUUUUUCAGAGCUGCUACCCAAAAUUCCCUUGUCCUUCUCCAGUUUGUAUUCUUUCUUUUUAGGUCUCCUUUUCCUUUUCUUUCUCUUU
This 163-nucleotide non-coding RNA is filed under the name Paramoeba aestuarina. Lineage: Eukaryota; Discosea; Flabellinia; Dactylopodida; Paramoebidae. The record is from RNAcentral.